This 485-nucleotide ribosomal RNA is filed under the name uncultured bacterium. Its description in RNAcentral is "partial 16S ribosomal RNA". It matches the Rfam family "Bacterial small subunit ribosomal RNA", at positions 28 to 507 of the family's 1533-position model. The record is from RNAcentral.
AUUGAACGCUGGCGGCAUGCCUUACACAUGCAAGUCGAACGGCAGCGGGCCCUUCGGGGUGCCGGCGAGUGGCGAACGGGUGAGUAAUGCAUCGGAACGUACCCGGGAGAGGGGGAUAACCGGCCGAAAGGCUGGCUAAUACCGCAUGAACUCGGAAGAGCAAAGCGGGGGACCUUCGGGCCUCGCGCUCUCGGAGCGGCCGAUGUCCGAUUAGGCUAGUUGGUGGGGUAAAGGCCCACCAAGGCGACGAUCGGUAGCGGGCCUGAGAGGACGAUCCGCCACACUGGGACUGAGACACGGCCCAGACUCCUACGGGAGGCAGCAGUGGGGAAUCUUGGACAAUGGGCGCAAGCCUGAUCCAGCAAUGCCGCGUGGGUGAAGAAGGCCUUCGGGUUGUAAAGCCCUUUCGGCGGGGAAGAAAUCGGUCAGGCGAAUAGUCUGGCCGGAUGACGGUACCCGCAGAAGAAGCACCGGCUAACUACGUG